ACUUAACUUUUCAACAAUUGUCAAGGUAAUGGCGUAAUGCCCACGUUUGGAAACAAGUAAAAAGCUGUGAUGCAAUGAUUAAAAUUAUAAUUAUUAGGUUAUGGCGAUUGAAAUUUAUAAGAUGUAACGGGGACGCUGAUAAUUGAUAAGCUUAUGCACAUAAUCACAUUAUCAAAAAUUAGAUGACCCCGGUGCAACUGAUUAUAUGAAUGUGGUAACGUUUCUUAGCGCGCCACAGUCACUAUGAUAACAAUUGAUAAGAUGUUUGUUUAUUUUAUUUUUUUUGAUAUUUUAAUGUAAUAAUGAACAAUAAUUAUUGUGAUGCUUGCAAUAUUAAAUUUAAGAACCGAUCAACAUUCCUGUGCCAUUUGGCAAGUAAUCAUCAUGGAUCGUUUCCUCUUGUCAGUUGUCAACGACAUAAAAAAUAUUGAUGGUGAUGCCAACAAAAAGUCCUUUCGUACCCGACCAAUCAUUGUUAACAGCAAUUCAGAGUCUACUCUCAGCGAUGAAUGUUCAAACAAACACCAACGCUACCAGUGCAGUAUAUGCAAAAGAACUUCUCGUUCGACUCAUGGUAUCAGCAGCACAUGUACACACAUAUGCCAGGAAAGUAUUUAUGCAAUUAUUGUUCAAAAGUGUUUAAAAGAAAUGACAACUUGGUAAGACACACAAAAUAUAUUCAUUCAAGCAAUCUAACAGCGAACAAAUGCAACACAUGUUCAAAGACAUUCAAAUACAAAAGUUCACUGAAGGAAUACAGAAUAAAUAAUCACUGUACGAAGAGACGAAAACACCUAUGUAAGGUCAGUAAAAAAUGUCUAUGGUCGAAGAAAACUUUACAUUACCACUUGAAUGCACACCAUAAUAAAUAAGAAUUCAUGUGUGGUACAUGUGGAUUGACGUUCACCGCACCUUACAAAAAGAGUCGUCACCGCAAAAAAAAUGACCAUUGAAGCAUAAUCCACAACCUCUGAACUGGCAACCAUUCAUAAAUCAUAAUAAUUCAAAUGGAACAGCAGUCACCGCCUCCGUACACGUGUGAAUCAUUGUUGCAGAUGGAAAUGGUUGAGUCUUCAGAUAUUGAGUACACCAAAUAAGUGUAAUGUUCCACACUACCCAAGGGGUCUUACACAUAAGCGCAUUUUUUUUAUCAAGGCGGUAUCGCCUAGAGCCCUAGUCCACCGUUUCUGCAAUCUUCAUACUGGAUGCUAAAAUAAAAAUAUAAAUAAGCUGAGCAUUUCACCAUCCACCACUAGUGAUGAUGAUAAAUAUUUGCCAGGACCUAGUACAGUGGUUGUCUCGGCUGAAAAUAAUCAUGACUUUAAGAAAUGCAGAAGCCCUUUAAAACCAUUGUCGUCUACUGUUUUAUCAUCAGAUGAUGGCAAUAAUGUACUUCCAAUUCAAGAACAAAAUUUAAAAAAUGAGCUAGGCGUUUCAUCAUCCACCACUAGUGAUGAUGAUAAAUAUUUGCCAGGACCUAGUACAGUGGUUGUCUCGGCUGAAAAUAAUCAUGAUUUUGAGAAACGCAGAAGCCCUUUAAAACCAUUGUCGUCUACUGUUUUAUCAUCAGAUGAUGGCAAUAAUUUAAUUCCAAUUCAAGAACAAAAUUUAAAAAAUGUGGAAAAAAAAUAUAAGAAAAAAACCAAAUGCAUGUUCUGCCCCAAGUCGUUCUUGUAUAAAUCACAUUGGUUGAGACACAUAGCUAUCCACGUUGAGCCACAAUGGAAAUGUGAUAUUUGUAAUUUGUCAUUUACAAGAGAAGAUACAAUAAUGCGUCAUCGGUACAGACAUGAAGAGAAGCGAUUUGUAUUCCCUUGUCAACGCUGCCCAAACGAAUAUCUCAACUAUGAUUCGCUGCAACAGCAUGUCAAACAAAAACACACAGAAAAUCCCAAAGAGUUCAAAUGCAAUGCGUGCCAAAAAACAUUUUUAACACAGAAAACAUUAACUUACCAUUUAAAUGUGCAUGCAUCCAUAACACCUUAUGAG
Molecule: long non-coding RNA, 1989 nt
Organism: Metopolophium dirhodum (rose-grain aphid)
Lineage: Eukaryota; Metazoa; Arthropoda; Insecta; Hemiptera; Aphididae
Exons: 6
Source: RefSeq, a predicted model, not a curated record